Molecule: ribosomal RNA, 287 nt
Filed under: uncultured Bacteroides sp.
Lineage: Bacteria; Pseudomonadati; Bacteroidota; Bacteroidia; Bacteroidales; Bacteroidaceae
Description: partial 16S ribosomal RNA
Rfam family: Bacterial small subunit ribosomal RNA
Source: RNAcentral
AAGUCGAGGGGCAUCAGGAAGAAAGCUUGCUUUCUUUGCUGGCGACCGGCGCACGGGUGAGUAACACGUAUCCAACCUGCCCUUUACUCGGGGAUAGCCUUUCGAAAGAAAGAUUAAUACCCGAUGGCAUAGUUCUUCCGCAUGGUCGAACUAUUAAAGAAUUUCGGUCAUCGAUGGGGAUGCGUUCCAUUAGGCAGUUGGUGAGGUAACGGCUCACCAAACCUUCGAUGGAUAGGGGUUCUGAGAGGAAGGUCCCCACAUUGGAACUGAGACACGGCCCAGACUCC